GCCUGGGAUGGCUCAGUCAGCAGAGCAUAAGAUGUUUAAUCUCAGGGUUGUGGGUUCGAGCCCCCCAUUGGGUA
Non-coding RNA from Podarcis lilfordi (Lilford's wall lizard), 74 nucleotides. The record is from the annotation of a GenBank genome assembly. Lineage: Eukaryota; Metazoa; Chordata; Lepidosauria; Squamata; Lacertidae.